This 478-nucleotide ribosomal RNA is filed under the name uncultured bacterium. Its description in RNAcentral is "partial 16S ribosomal RNA". It matches the Rfam family "Bacterial small subunit ribosomal RNA", at positions 28 to 523 of the family's 1533-position model. The record is from RNAcentral.
GACGAACGCUGGCGGCGUGCUUAACACAUGCAAGUCGAACGGUAAGGCCCUUCGGGGUACACGAGUGGCGAACGGGUGAGUAACACGUGGGUGAUCUGCCCUGCACUUCGGGAUAAGCCUGGGAAACUGGGUCUAAUACCGGAUAGGACCCUGGGAUGCAUGUCCUGGGGUGGAAAGCUUUUGCGGUGUGGGAUGGGCCCGCGGCCUAUCAGCUUGUUGGUGGGGUGAUGGCCUACCAAGGCGACGACGGGUAGCCGGCCUGAGAGGGUAACCGGCCACACUGGGACUGAGAUACGGCCCAGACUCCUACGGGAGGCAGCAGUGGGGAAUAUUGCACAAUGGGCGCAAGCCUGAUGCAGCGACGCCGCGUGAGGGAUGACGGCCUUCGGGUUGUAAACCUCUUUCAGCAUCGACGAAGCGAAAGUGACGGUAGGUGCAGAAGAAGGACCGGCCAACUACGUGCCAGCCGCCGCCGUAA